GGGCGUACGGAAGGUCUCUUGAAAUUAGAGGCUCGAAGUUGGAAAGUAAAGUAAUCGCCUUUUAGGAUAGGGCGGUGAAUCCUCCUCUUCUCCUUGCACAAACUGCUCGUCAGGGUCUGGGAAACCGAAUACCCGAAGUCUGUCCCUUUUAAAACUCAUUCUCCUACUUUUCUUUAGCGUUACUUCUUAGGUAAAACUCUGAAUCGCUCUGGAAACAUCCGAGGGACAUCCUGUGGAUGGAUGGGAGACCGCCGGAUAAAGAGGGUGAAACCUUAUUUUGAAGAGCGGAGAGCAUGGGUGACAGUCUAAGUUAUGAGGUUGACUGGAUUUAAGUCGAAACAAGGUUACGGUAAGGGAACUUGCCGUAGAA
This 370-nucleotide ribosomal RNA is filed under the name Prymnesium parvum. RNAcentral describes it as "partial Microsporidia small subunit ribosomal RNA". It matches the Rfam family "Bacterial small subunit ribosomal RNA", at positions 1287 to 1522 of the family's 1533-position model. Lineage: Eukaryota; Haptophyta; Prymnesiales; Prymnesiaceae. The record is from RNAcentral.